This 433-nucleotide ribosomal RNA is filed under the name uncultured bacterium. Its description in RNAcentral is "partial 16S ribosomal RNA". It matches the Rfam family "Bacterial small subunit ribosomal RNA", at positions 29 to 507 of the family's 1533-position model. The record is from RNAcentral.
AACGAACGCUGGCGGCAUGCCUAACACAUGCAAGUCGAACGAGACCUUCGGGUCCCGUUGCCCACGGGUUCGUAACCCGUGGGAACCUUCCCUUAGGUUCGGAAUAACUCCCCGAAAGGGGUGCUAAUACCGGAUAAUGUCUUCGGACCAAAGAUUUAUCGCCCUUGGAUGGGCCCGCGUUGGAUUAGCUAGUUGUUAGGGUAAAAGCCUAUCAAGGCGACGAUCCAUAGCUGGUGUGAGAGGCUGAUCAGCCACACUGGGACUGAGACACGGCCCAGACUCCUACGGGAGGGAGGAGUGGGGAAUAUUGGAAAAUGGGAGAAAGCCUGAUCCAGCAAUGCCGCGUGAGUGAUGAAGGCCUUAGGGUUGUAAAGCUCUUUUACCCGGGAUGAUAAUGACAGUACCGGGAGAAUAAGCUCCGGCUAACUCCGUG